GGUUUGUGGCUCAGUGGUAGAGCACUUGCCUAGCAUGUGUGAGACACUAUGUUCAAUUCUCAGCACCG
This 68-nucleotide transfer RNA is filed under the name Marmota monax (woodchuck). RNAcentral's name for it is "tRNA.Ala". Lineage: Eukaryota; Metazoa; Chordata; Mammalia; Rodentia; Sciuridae. The record is from RNAcentral.